Long non-coding RNA from Notolabrus celidotus (New Zealand spotty), 595 nucleotides. RefSeq lists it as uncharacterized. NCBI's taxonomy places the organism in Eukaryota, Metazoa, Chordata, Actinopteri, Labriformes, Labridae. The record is from RefSeq and is a predicted model, not a curated record. The transcript has 4 exons.
GCCGGGAAACUGAACAAACUACUUGACUCACGAUAAACACACCUUGAGAACGGAUAUUGUUAGUGAAAGAGACGUGUCAAAUCUGUUAUCCAUUCCGUUUUGUGGAUUAACUUUCCCUGUAGAGUGGGAGUUUAUUGACAAGAGAAAGGCAUUAGCCUGAACUUAGUACUGAUGCAGAAACAAGGCUUUUGAGGGGCACUUCAACUCCACCAUUUAAAAACGAUUCCUUUGGAUGACAGAUGCAACCAUCAAGGCUAGUUCUCCAUUCUUUCCCUCGAAGAGAAAAGUGAGGAGGUGGAGAGAGAAACAAGACGAGGAGGAGUGAAAGAACCAAGAGAAAGGUCACCGCUGCACAUGGCAGCAAGUCGAGCAGAUUGUUACGUGUCUGGAGCUCAGAGGUCACAGCAGGCCAGUGGUAUCAGGCUGCAGCUGAGAGUGACUUUCCAAACAGCGAGAGGUGAUCCCUGGAGUCCUUUCUGAGGGUGCAUGUGCUCGUACAAUAGCAUGAGGAUAGAUUUGUUUAAAGUGGCAAAUUGCCUGAUUCAUCAGCAAGGACAAAACCCCUAUUGAUGCCAUCCAUCUCUGACAAUUGAAA